CUUGGUCAUUUAGAGGAAGUAAAAGUCGUAACAAGGUUUCCGUAGGUGAACCUGCGGAAGGAUCAUUACAGAGUUCAUGCCCUUCGGGGUAGAUCUCCCACCCUUGUGUAUUUAUACUUUGUUGCUUUGGCAGGCCGUUGGCUUAGGCUAACUAUCGGCUCCGGCUGGUAAGCGCCUGCCAGAGGACCCCAAACUCUGAAUAUUUAUGUCGUCUGAGUACUAUAUAAUAGUUAAAACUUUCAACAACGGAUCUCUUGGUUCUGGCAUCGAUGAAGAACGCAGCGAAAUGCGAUAAGUAAUGUGAAUUGCAGAAUUCAGUGAAUCAUCGAAUCUUUGAACGCACAUUGCGCCCCUUGGUAUUCCGGGGGGCAUGUCUGUUCGAGCGUCAUUUCAACCCUCAAGCUCUGCUUGGUAUUGGGCAUCAUCCUCUGUGGUGAGCCUUAAAUCAGUGGCGGUGCCAUCUGGCUCUAAGCGUAGUAAUUCUUCUCGCUAUUGAGUCCAAGUGGUUACUUGCCAGCAACCCCAAAUUUUUAUAAGGUUGACCUCGGAUCAGGUAGGGAUACCCGCUGAACUUAAGCAUAUCAAUAAGCGGAGGA
This 596-nucleotide ribosomal RNA is filed under the name uncultured fungus. Its description in RNAcentral is "eukaryotic LSU rRNA". The stretch from base 235 to 388 matches the Rfam family "5.8S ribosomal RNA". Lineage: Eukaryota; Fungi. The record is from RNAcentral.